This 180-nucleotide small RNA is filed under the name Gopherus agassizii (Agassiz's desert tortoise). Its description in RNAcentral is "TUC338 (ENSGAGG00000010216.1)". Lineage: Eukaryota; Metazoa; Chordata; Testudines; Testudinidae. The record is from RNAcentral.
GUGACAGCCUUGGAGUUUGAAAUCCUGUUUAGUCACAGAACAGAUACUGUAGAAGUGUUGGCAGCAUAAGCUUAUCCUACACCACCAUCUGCCCAUUUGCUCUGAGCCUGACGUAGCAGGAAAAUCUUCAGGAGUGAAAAGGAAGUUCAGUCUCCAUGGCCCAUUCAGCCCUUGGCCUCU